CAACAAGCGAAGAUUGGAAAUAGUAGAAGGACAAUAAGCUUUCAGAGAGCUGAUGGUUGGUGAGAGUCAGCACUUAUUUCCUUUGAACUCAUCCAAGAGCUGCACCCUGAACACCGGUAUGGGCUAAGUAGGGGGAGCCGGAAUUCUGCCGUUAUACAGAUAGGCGGUGAUAGCCGCCGAAACAGAGUGGAUUAAUGACGGAUUGAUUAAUCAAUUAGAGUGGUACCGCGAGCAAAGCCUCGUCUCUAUA
RNAcentral lists this non-coding RNA (250 nucleotides) under Bacillus glycinifermentans. RNAcentral's name for it is "T-box sequence". It matches the Rfam family "T-box leader". From Rfam's summary of the family: Uncharged tRNA acts as the effector for transcription antitermination of genes in the T-box leader family. T-boxes are found upstream of many aminoacyl-tRNA synthetase genes and some amino acid biosynthetic genes usually in Gram-positive bacteria. The record is from RNAcentral. Lineage: Bacteria; Bacillati; Bacillota; Bacilli; Caryophanales; Bacillaceae.